RNA transcript from Cygnus olor (mute swan), 2108 nucleotides. It is a transcript of the gene named GINS complex subunit 4, with no coding region annotated. The record is from RefSeq and is a predicted model, not a curated record. NCBI's taxonomy places the organism in Eukaryota, Metazoa, Chordata, Aves, Anseriformes, Anatidae. The transcript has 8 exons.
CGUGCGCUCGGGGCCGCGGCGGGAUGGCGGCGGCGGCGGCGGCGGGGGGCGGCGGGGGGCAGGGCCCGGAGGCGGAGGGGGGCAGCGAGGAGCUGGUGCUCACCCCGGCGCAGCUCAUCCGCAGCCUGGAGCAGGCCUGGCUGAACGAGAAGUUUGCCCCGGAGCUGCUGGAGAGCAAGCCUGAGAUCGUUGAGUGCGUUGUGGAGCAGCUGGACCACAUGGAGUCAAACCUGAAACGGGCAAAGGCAGGAGACUUAAAGGUCAGCGUCCAUCGCAUGGAGAUUGAAAGGAUCCGUUACGUGCUCAGCAGCUACUUGCGGUGUAGGCUUGUGAAGAUAGAGAAGUUUUUUCCCCAUGUCCUGGAGAAGGAGAAGUCUCGAGCUGAAGGGGAGCCUUCCAUUCUAUCCCCGGAGGAGUUUGCCUUUGCUAAAGAGUACAUGGCAAACACAGAGACUUACCUAAAAAAUGUGGCCCUAAAACACAUGCCACCCAACCUGCAGAAAGUGUCCCUCUUAAAAUCAGUCCCAAAGCCCAACCUGGAUUCCUUCGUCUUCUUGAGGGUGCUGGAGAGGCAGGAGAACAUCCUGGUCGAGCCGGAGACUGAUGAGCAGAGGGAGUACACCAUCGAUCUGGAGGAGGGCUCACAACACCUGAUCCGCUACAAGACCGUCGCCCCUCUGGUGGCCUCGGGAGCAGUGCAGCUCAUCUGAGCGGCGGUAGGUGCCGAGCCAGGGCCGCGGUGACAGCCGGCUGCCGGCGCGUUGGGCCGGCAGGUGGCGCCGGGACGGCGCGGUGAGGCCGUGCGCCCCGCUACAGCCGGGGGGUGCACCCUUGGGAGCGUCCAAGUGGACCAGCAAGAUGUCUUCCCCUCUACAGAUGCGGAGGGGCUCGUUGCCCCCACAGUUAAUCAAACUCUUAAUUGCUUACGGUACAUCCGGGCUCCUUUUGCCCAGAGCUGCUGAGCGAGGGCGGUCUGUGUCACAGCACUCCUUCCAACGAGGCUUUGGUGGAGCCUUGCCACAGUCCCUCUUGAGUCCCAAGGGAGGGACGAGUGUAGGUGCCGUCUCUCCAGAUCUCGGGCUGGUCUGACAGCAGAUGUGGACAGAGCACAUCUGUCCUCAAAGGUAAAUAAUGCCUUUGUAAAUCCCAGGAUGCCCUCUUUUUUAAACUUACAUCUUAAAACGUCUGUGUGUUCAUCCAUGCCCCAGUUUAGCACUGUUCUUUGAAUUUAGGCUGUCAGGUGGGAACUGGCUGAUCAAAUGGUGUGGUAACCAGUUGUGUAAACUCCACCUUCCCCCAUCGGCUUUGAUCUUUUCACAGGGUCUAUGCAACCCUGGUUGUUGUGCAAGUGCCCGAUUGCUCUGAGGUGAACUGGGGGGAAUACUUCUGCACCACCUUUGCCACAUGAUCCCUUGAGCAAAAGAACAACACAUGUGAAGGUAUCUGAGAUUUGCCUGCAGAGUAGGCCUGGAUUUGGAAGGAGUGUCUACAGGAGCCUUGGGCAUCUGUGUUUUCUCUGAGAUUGCGAAUGGUGCAAUCAUGAUGGAAGCUCUGGAAAUAUCAAGCAGUGUUUGAACGCUUGUCACAGACCUCUCUAACCAGAGCAACUGGUUCAUGCUCACGGGGUCUUGAUACUGCCCAUGUAAAAUUUGCAUUUCACUCCAUUCACUGUUUUGCUACGUGCACAGGCUUUGCUCAAAGCCAACACCAAAGUAGCUCCUGCACUGAAGACUGAAGUGCUGCUAUUUCACCUCUUGAAAUCCUUGUUGAUCGAGUCCAGCAAGGGGGAUGAGAGACCUUCCUGCUUUUCUGGCCUUUUCUGACCUCCUCCUUUGGGCUGACAGGCUUCAGAGAGAUUACACCACUGUUACAGUUAAUCCUCAAGCUCAAGGCUGCCUUUCUCAGUGAACUUCAGGACAAGUAAGGCCCUUGGUACAGGAUGGUCUGCACGAUCAGCAGCUGAGCACUGGAAGAACUCUGAGGAAUUCUGUAAGCUUGUGGUGCUUUCGUGUUCAGAAUGAUAUUGCAGCACAAGUCUGGCAGAGCUUUCCCAGAACAGUCUCUUGUUGCAGGAUGAGAAUAGAAGUAGUCUUGGUUUUGCCUCACCA